GUAGUUUGACUCGUCGGCUACAGGACGAACGCUGGCGGCUGCCUAACACAUGCAAGUCGAACGAGAAUCUAACGACGGAGUUUUCGGACAACUGAGUUAGAGGAAAGUGGCGGACUGGUGAGUAACGCGUGAGCAACCUGCCUUUCAGAGGGGGACAACAGUUGGAAACGACUGCUAAUACCGCAUAAUAUAUACACAAGGCAUCUUGAGUAUAUCAAAGGAGCAAUCCGCUGAAAGAUGGGCUCGCGUCUGAUUAGAUAGUUGGCGGGGCAACGGCCCACCAAGUCGACGAUCAGUAGCCGGACUGAGAGGUUGAACGGCCACAUUGGGACUGAGAUACGGCCCAGACUCCUACGGGAGGCAGCAGUGGGGAAUAUUGGGCAAUGGACGCAAGUCUGACCCAGCAACGCCGCGUGAAGGAAGAAGGCUUUCGGGUUGUAAACUUCUUUAAGAGGGACGAAGGACGUGACGGUACCUCUUGAAUAAGCCACGGCUAACUACGUGCC
This 506-nucleotide ribosomal RNA is filed under the name uncultured organism. RNAcentral describes it as "SSU rRNA". It matches the Rfam family "Bacterial small subunit ribosomal RNA", at positions 1 to 509 of the family's 1533-position model. The record is from RNAcentral.